ACAGUUGGCGGCAUGAUUUUCAUAAAUAAUGUCUGCUUGACAAGGUCCAGCUGCUUGUUACCAAACAAGCCCGAGUGGAUACGGAGUGGUGACAGGCGUGGGCUCCACAGUCUCCCCCGAUGUGUUUAGUUGACUCACUGCUCAUUGGAGCAUUUGACAAGUACCGAAAUCCUUGUUUGACGAAUGAGAAGGAUCCUUUAGUUGAAGCAGAGGUCAUUGCUCUGUGCAGAAACAGAGUUAAAAGGAUGUAAACACAUCCUAGGUCUCAACAGAGCCACCUGAGCCCGGACAUGAUGCGUGGCUCUUUUACUUCUGGGAAACACUGCAUAGCCACUUGCCCUACUUGACGGAUGCUUUCAUUUACAGCCAAUUAUCGGCAUGAACUCCACUCCUUUUCCAAAGCCCGUCACCAUAGGCGACCUGCCUCCACCCUGGGGAAUGCAGUGGAACAAGGUCAGUCCAAAUUUGCAGAACCGUACCUGUGAGAGUCCACUCUGUUGAUGACGCUAUUGAAAAUACAUGCGAUUGUCCUCAUGUUCAGUCGAGGGUUUGUGAUUGUAUAUGAUGGACAAGGCCAAGAAAAAAAAUGAAUGAUCGAGUCAAAUGCAAAGUGUCUUGUUCUCCAAUAUUGAUUUUAGAAGUGGGUGCAGCUCUUUAUUUUUACACAAUGAAGAUUUUAACAAUAACAUUACCCUGAACAAUACUGCCUUUUGUAGCGGUACCUUAACAGUAUUCUUAUUGGUACUAUGAUUAAGAAAAACACCCCAGAAAAUAUUGGCAUUAACACUGCUUUAUAUUAUUUUAUUGUUUUGAUGCUGACUCCACACAUCAAAAGAAUCUGCUCCUCAUUACAUUCUGUAGCCUAAACACAAGCCUGCAGUCAACCUUGUUGGUCCUGCUUCAUCUUCAUUUUGUUUUUUUUUCUGUCUUGCUGAUUAAUGGCGGCGACGAUGGCAGGAAGCCGUCAUUGUGAACGUGUUAGAUGAGUAGCACCUAUCAAGAAUGGCUCCUGUUCCCCCAGAGGGGAAAUGUUUACCUGCCGAGCCUGCCCACAAAGCCGCUUGAUUAACGUCAUCAGCGGCCCCACAGGAACACCGUAGUUGCUGUUAUUGACUCGCUGCACCGUUUCCCAGCAUGCCACACACACAAUUUGUACUAUGUGUGAGCUGCAAAAAAGCGGGUUUUGUUUCCCUAGUUUACCGUUUGCCAGUCUUUUCUCUAUGAACUCUGGUCACUGUGCUGUCAUUUGUCGCAUCACGUGGAGCUGGCGGUCGAUCCCAGCUUGUCCCAAUGAUACAGUGCUGCCGAAUGGACACACAUUUGGCAUGAAUUUCCUUCAACAUAAGUGGCUGUCAGAUGGGCCCACAGUGGAGCGCAUUAAAGCCGGCUGUCUUCCUUUGGCUUUUUUUUUUUCUCUCAUUGGCCUGAAUGUGCCUCUUUAAAAAUGGCGGUAACAGCUUUUGUCUUCAGCCAGCUGUUCUCCGGAGACAACCUCGAAGCAGGUGUAAGGGCUUGAUUUGUGUUUUACUAAGGUGCGGCAAUGAAUGACAGUGUGGGGGAUGAGCAAUUACUCUGCACAAACAAAGACAGAUAGUGCCUAAGGGAUCAAGCCGCACGAACAAUUGAGUGUUAUCUACUCUUAACUACUUGGCUUCAUGAUUGUAUUGAAGAAUAAUACAAUUAUCAGUCGUUAAAAAUAAAUAAGGAAACCACAGUGUGUGUGUGUGUGUGUGUGUGUGUGUGUGUGUGU
Hippocampus comes (tiger tail seahorse) is the source of this 1750-nucleotide long non-coding RNA. RefSeq lists it as uncharacterized. The record is from RefSeq and is a predicted model, not a curated record. Lineage: Eukaryota; Metazoa; Chordata; Actinopteri; Syngnathiformes; Syngnathidae. The transcript is spliced from 2 exons.